AUUGAACGCUGGCGGCAUGCCUUACACAUGCAAGUCGAACGGCAGCGGGGGAGAAGCUUGCUUUUCCUGCCGGCGAGUGGCGAACGGGUGAGUAAUACAUCGGAACAUGCCCUGUAGUGGGGGAUAACUAGUCGAAAGAUUAGCUAAUACCGCAUACGACCUGAGGGUGAAAGUGGGGGACCGCAAGGCCUCAUGCUAUAGGAGCGGCCGAUGUCUGAUUAGCUAGUUGGUGGGGUAAAGACCUACCAAGGCGACGAUCAGUAGCUGGUCUGAGAGGACGAUCAGCCACACUGGGGCUGAGACACGGCCCAGACUCCUACGGGAGGCAGCAGUGGGGAAUUUUGGACAAUGGGCGAAAGCCUGAUCCAGCAAUGCCGCGUGUGUGAAGAAGGCCUUCGGGCUGUAAAGCACUUUUGUCCGGAAAGAAAUGGCUCUGGUUAAUACCUGGGGUCGAUGACGGUACCGGAAGAAUAAGGACCGGCUAACUACGUGCCAGCCGCCGCGGUAA
Molecule: ribosomal RNA, 508 nt
Filed under: uncultured bacterium
Lineage: Bacteria
Description: partial 16S ribosomal RNA
Rfam family: Bacterial small subunit ribosomal RNA
Source: RNAcentral